AGUUAAUAUAUAAAACUAUCCACUUUCAUAUUGUAAAGAUAAAAAUUGUCCACUAAGAUAAAAAUAAUAAAAACUGUCCACUUUUUGAUUGAAAAGACAAAAAUACCCUCCUUUAAAAAUAGACACUCUCUCUUUUUCUCUCAUUCUCUUCUCUCUCUUCUCCCUCACAGUCAACUCCCUUCCCCCUUCUCUCUCUCUUUCUCUCUCCCUCCCUCCCUCCCUUCGAGCUCAGAUCGCCGGCGAUCUCAUCCCUG
RNAcentral lists this long non-coding RNA (254 nucleotides) under Salvia miltiorrhiza (redroot sage). Its description in RNAcentral is "long non-coding RNA (SMIL_LNC013863)". Lineage: Eukaryota; Viridiplantae; Streptophyta; Magnoliopsida; Lamiales; Lamiaceae. The record is from RNAcentral.